GUGCCUCCACAACUCCAACACUUGCUGCCACUAUAGCCUUGCUUGCACUUGAUGAACUCAUGAUUUCUUUUCUCUCCUUUGGGUAUUCUGAAUUCUUUUGGUAGUGAUUGUGAAUGUUUAAGUGUUUGAUGAAGGAUAUGAGCAUGAAGCGCUCUUUAUAUGGGAACUAGAAAGGGUGGGCCUUUCCACCAAUUACUAGAGGCGGUUUAGAGUGUAAAGCCAAUGGUAUAUAUAUUUCUUUUCUUGUCUUUUUGUCACACUCAUUACCACUAACUAUACAAAUGAGCACACGGUUUUCCUUAUCAAAUCCACCUAAGCCUCAGGUAUGGGAGGAAACACCACCUGCUUUUGUUUGUUACAGUGAAAAUGUGAAUGUAUAUACAGAUAAAAUGUCAAUAGCAUGUCAAUUAAAGUAACACGUAUUAAUACUAACAUAUCGAUACACACUAGGUUUUUUUUUUUUAACAAAUUCUAGCUACUUGAAUCUUUAAGUGCAUGAACCAGAGAAAAAAUGGAUAACUUCCAUAUUUGGAAAAUGAGUAAUUUUGAUGAUAAUAAAUCAACACAGUAAUUAUAUCCUCAUCCAUGAGAAGAAACUAGUUGAAUGUAAGGAAUUUGUAAGGGUGGGCCUUUCCACCAGUAACUAGAGGCGGUUUAGGGAGUGUAAAGCCAAUGGUAUAUAUUUCUUUUCUUCUCCUUCUGUCACACUCAUUGCCACUAACUAUACAAAUGAGCACACGGUUUUCCUUAUAAAAUCCAACUAAGCCUCAGGUAUGGGAGGAAACACCACUUGUUUUUGUUUGUUUUAGUGGGAAAUUGUCAAACUGUUUCCAAGACAAGAUAAUCUAUUCAGCUAAACAACUAUAUCCUUUUUUUUUUUUGGGAUAAAAAUUAAUUAACUCAGAUUUCAAAGAUUUUAGAUUUCAUUUUUCUAAAUAGUACUAUCCAUACAUCAUUUUUUACCUUAUACUCACUUUUAUUAGUUUUUGUUCAUUAAUCUUUUUCAUUCAUUCGAUCCAAUAGCUGGAAAUUAAGAGAGUGUAUGAGAGGUAAAAUUUGGUGUAUGGAUAGCACUACCCUUCUUAUAAAUAAAUAUCUAAGAAAAUUGCUACUAAAAAUUACUUAGAAAACAAACUUAUUGAGAGAAUAAAUCUUACAUCAAGUAAAAUAAGUCUUAUUUGAUAGUUUAAAUGAUUUUGGCAUCUCUCCCUUAUUGUGAGUUGUGUUCGGAUGGAUACUCACAUUCUAAUAUGAAAUCAAAGCAGGCUAUGCACUUGUUGAGUCAAGGGUCUACGUGCCCACACGUUAGCUAAUUAAUGUGGCCCACGUGCUAGACUUAAAAUGACCCCACACUUCUUUGUCAAUAAUUGCGAUAUCAUCAAAAAGUGGUGUAGUCUUUUUCGCGUGAUGCCUUUAUAGUAUUUCUCCGGCUGGAUUUGGAUUCUCCGGGUGGUGUAGUCUUUUUGAUGAGUUUGCAAUUGCAGUAUUUCUUAUAGCAUGAGUGGCCUCUCAUUCCUGAUCGAGAAAUUUCUCAUGUGGUUCUUCUUAAGCAAGGCUUCUUGUUGAGGAAUAAAUGUUAUUAUUCACUUUAUGAUGAUACCUGCCUUCACUUCUUCGAUUUUCAAGUGGUUCGCCUUUUGAUUUCAAGUGAUUUUACCCUGAAAUAAUUCUAGCCUUUCUUAAAUUACUUUCAAGCAUGUCCAGUCAGUCCAGUCAUUUAGCUACAAGCUUCAUACUUAAAUACUCCUGACUGCUCAAAUAGUCUUAAACAAUUUUAACUAUCUGAGUGGGCUUAAAUAUUCUUAACUACCUAAACAGGCUCCAAAUUACGUGUCCAAAUAGAAAUUACCUAACUACGUUGAUAAAUUUCAAUGGAAGAGAGUAUACUGUAUGCAUUUCUGUCGCUCCAUGUCAUAGUACCAACUUUGGUGGGAAAUUUUACACAAUGUCAAUGAUUUCCGGAGUUCUUGCAUUCUCUCAUCAUCGCCCAUAUAUUGCGUAUGCUUGCACAGGCCUAUAAAUUUUGAAUAAAAAACGUUUGAAUACUGGCAAAUUUAACGCCAUUAUAGGAUGAUAAAUGUUCCACUCAGGACAAAGUAACUAGUAGCUAAGUGUGUCCUCUGCGGAGUCCAGGGUGAAUCUACAAUUCACCUUAUCCGCGAUUGUGCAUUUGCUAAGUGUGUCUGGCUUGCUACUCCGAUUGGUAUCCCUCCUUCUCCGCCUUAUGUCCUCUCGAUGUUGGAUUGGAUUCUGAGUUGGACUUCUCACCUCAAUCCAUCGAACUUUGCUCUUGGUUUAAUGGUGCUUUGGGCAAUCUGGGGUGCACGAAAUAACCAUCUCUGGAAUGACUGUAUGGACUCUCCUGACAUCAUCGCUGCUUGGGGUCUCUCUUGGUGGCAAAAGUUCCAGAGAGUUGCUCCCCCCCCCCCUCCCUGAGACUCGCUACUCGUCACCAAGUCCCUCAUAGGUCGUCCCGCCCUCCUGCCCAUUUCCUUCAAGCUAGGGGGUUUUCAAAACAAUAUCCUCGAGAGUGAUUCAUUCCAGAUUGUGACGCAUCUACAUAAUUCUUCCAAUUAUUUUUCCGACAUUGGACUCUUCCAACUAUUUGUCCGACAUUGGACUCUUAAUUGAAGACUCGCGUGUGAUCCUGUCUUCAACCACUAGAGCUUAUGCUACCAUGUUCGUCGCCAAGUCAAUCGUAUUGCUCAUCGCCUUGCACGGUUUGCCUUUACUUCAAGUUCGUCAUGUAACUGGUUUGAGAAACCUCCGGACCUCAUCUCAAAUUUACUGUUUGACGAAGCUGUUUUGUAAUUGACGUAGGGCUUUGUAACUCUGUUUUUGAAAUGAAAUGAAUCUAUCGAGUACUUUUUCAGAAAAAGAAAAAAAAAAAACAACUACUGGCUAAAGAUGAAAAAAAGAAACGAGAUCAAGGUAGAAAUUCUCAGCAACAAUUUCUGUUCUAUAUGGUGAUUGUUACAACGAAACAAAAUUUACAUCAAUUAGCCCCAAGCAAACAUCAUCAUUUGCCGUAAUUUACAACCCUAAUCUUUGCUCUUGCUUUUGCGAAUGAAUCAUUCAAUUAAUUGUUGGGACCCCAGCAGCUCAAAAACAUGACUGUCCUCAAAGACUCCUCUGAUUUCUUGAGCUUCUCAUCUCUCACUUUACUCAGAGCUGAAGCAGAAGGAGAAGAGAGUUUGUUGUUAGCCUGAGAAAAUGAUCUCACUUGGCUCUUGGCUUGUUGGCCUGCAUAUCUCAAAGCAGAGUUCCAUCUGCAAAUCCCUUGGUCCUUGAGUGCCUCCACAACUCCAACACUUGCUGCCACUAUAGCCUUGCUUGCACUUGAACUCAUGAUUUCUUCUCUCUCCUUUCGAUAUUCUGAAUUCUUUUGGCAGUGAUUGUGAUGUUAAGUGUUUGAUGAAGGAUAUGAUCAUGAAGUGCUCUUUAUAUAGGAAUUAGAAAGGGUGGGCCUUUCCACCAGUAACUAGAGGCGGUUUAGAGAGUGUAAAGCCAAUGGUAUAUAUUUCUUUUCUACUCUUUGUGUCACACUCAUUGCCACUAACUGUACAAAUGAGCACACGGUUUUCCUUAUAAAAUCCAACUAAGCCUCAGGUAUGGGAGGAAACACCACUUGCUUUUGUUUGUUUUGGUGGGAAAUUGUCAAACUGUUUCCAAGACAAGAUAAUCUAUUCAAGCUAAACAACUAUAUCCCCUCUUUUUCUUUUCUUUUUUCUUUUUUUUGGGAUAAAAAUUAAUUAACUCAGAUUUCAAAGAUUUUAGAUUUCAUUUUUCUAAGUAGUGUUUUCCAUACAUCUCUUUUUACCUCAUACUCACUCUUAUUAGUUUUUGUUCAUUGAUCUUCCUCAUUCAUUCAAUCCAACGGCUGAAAAUUAAGAGAGUGUAUAAAAGGUAAAAUUUGGUGUAAGGAUAGCAUCGCCCUUCCUAUAAAUAUAUAUCUAAGAAAAUUGCUACUAAAAAAUUACUACGAAAACAAACUUAUUGAGAGUAUAAAUCUUACAUCACCUAAAAUAAGUCUUAUAUGAUGGUUUAAAUGAUUUUGGCAUCUCUCUCUUAUUGUGAGUUGUGUUCGGAUGGAUACUCACAUUCUAAUAUGAAAUCAAAGCAGGCUAUGCACUUGUUGAGUCAAGGGUCUACGUGCCCAUACGUUAGCUAAUUAAUGUGGCCAACGUGUUAGACUUAAAAUGACCCCACACUUCUUUGUUAACGAUUGCAAGAUCAUCAAAAAGUGGUGUAGUCUUUUCCUCGCGAUGCCUUUAUAGUAUUUCUCUGGAUGGAUUUGGAUUCUCCGGGUGCUGUAGUCUUUUUUAUGAGUUUGCAAUUGCAGUAUUUCUUAUAGCAUGAGUGGCCUCUCAUUCCUGAUCGAGAAGUUUCUCAUGUGGUUUUUCUUAAGCAAGGCUUCUUGUUGAGGAAUAAAUGUUAUUAUUCACUUUCUGAUGAUACCUGCUUCACUUCUUGAUUUUCAAGUGAUUUUAACCUUAAAUGAUUCUAGCCUUUCUAAAUUGCUCUCAAAAAAGUCAGCCCGGUCACUUAGCUACAAGCCUCAUACUUAAAUACUCUUGACUGCUUAAAUCAUCUUAAACAAUUUUAACUAUCUGAGUAGGCUUAAAUAUUCUUAACUACCUAAACAGGCUCCAAAUUACGUGUCCAAAUAGAAAUUACCUAACUAUGUUGAUAAAUUUCAAUGGAAAAGAGAGAGUAAACUGUUUGCAUUUCUGUCGCUCCAUGUCAUAGUACCAACUUUGGUGGGAAAUUUUACACAAUGUAAAUGAUUUCCAGAGUUCUUGCAUUCUCUCCUCAUCGCCCAUAUAUUGCGUAUGCUUGCACAGGCCUAUAAAUUUUGAAUAAAAAACGUUUGAAUACUGGCAAAUUGAACGCUAUUAUAGGAUGAUAAAUGUUCCACUCAGGACAAAGUAACUAGUGGCUAAGUGUGUCCUCUGCGGAAUCCUGGGUGAGUCUACAAUUCACCUUAUCCGCGAUUGUGCCUUUGCUAAGUGUGUCUGGCUUGCUACUCCGAUUGGUAUCCCUCCUUCUCCGCCUUACGUCCUCUCGAUGUUGGAUUGGAUUCUGAAUUGGACUUCUUACCUUAAUCUAUGGAACUUUGCUCUUGGUUUAAUGGUGCUUUGGGAAAUCUGGGGUGCACGAAAUAACGGUCUCUGGAAUGACCGUAUGGACUCUCCUGACAUCAUCGCUGCUCGGGGUCUCUCUUGGUGGCAAGAGUUCCAGAGAGUUGCUUCCCCCGCCCUCCCUGAGACUCGCUACUCGUCCCCAAGUCCCUCAUAGGUGGUCCCGUCCUCCUGCCCAGUUCUUUCGAGCUAGGGGGUUUUCAUAACGUUAUCCUCGAGAGUGAUUCACUCCAGAUUGUGACGCUUCUACAUAAUUCUUUAAAUUAUUUGUCCGACAUUGGACUCUUAAUUGAAGACUCGCGUGUGAUCCUGUCUUCAACCACUGGAGCUUAUGCUACCAUGUUCGUCGCCAAGUCAAUCGUAUUGCUCAUCGCCUUGCACGGUUUGCCUUUACUUCAAGUUGGUCAUGUCACUGGUUUUCAUAAACCUCCGGACCUCAUCUCAAAUUUACUGUUUGACGAAGCUGUUUUGUAAUUGAUGUAUGGCUUUGUAACUCUGUUUUUCAAAUGAAAAGAAUCUAUCAAGAGCUUAAAAAAAUAAAAAAAUAAAAACUACUGGCUAAAGAUGAAAAAAGAAAAGAGAUCAAGGGCGAAAUUCUCAGCAACAAUUUCUGUUCAUGGUAAUUGUUACAACGAAACAAAAUUUACAUCAAUUAGCCCCAAGCAAACAUCAUAAUUUGCCGUAAUUUACAACACUAAUCUUUGCUCUUGCUUUGCGAAUGAAUCAUUCAAUUAGUUGUUGGGACCCCAGCAGCUCAAAAACAUGACUGUCCUCAAAGACUCCUCUGAUUUCUUGAGCUUCUCAUCUCUCACUUUACUCAGAGCAGAAGCAGAAGGAGAAGAGAGUUUGUUGUUGGCCUGAGAAAAUGAUCUCACUUGGCUCUUGGCUUGUUGGCCUGCAUAUCUCAAA
RNAcentral lists this long non-coding RNA (6050 nucleotides) under Malus domestica (apple). RNAcentral's name for it is "long non-coding RNA (MDOM_LNC017248)". The record is from RNAcentral. Lineage: Eukaryota; Viridiplantae; Streptophyta; Magnoliopsida; Rosales; Rosaceae.